UGCCAGCGGGUAAUGCCGGGAACUCAAAGGAGACUGCCGGUGAUAAACCGGAGGAAGGUGGGGAUGACGUCAAGUCAUCAUGGCCCUUACGGCCAGGGCUACACACGUGCUACAAUGGCGCAUACAAAGAGAAGCGACCUCGCGAGAGCAAGCGGACCUCAUAAAGUGCGUCGUAGUCCGGAUCGGAGUCUGCAACUCGACUCCGUGAAGUCGGAAUCGCUAGUAAUCGUAGAUCAGAAUGCUACGGUGAAUACGUUCCCGGGCCUUGUACACACCGCCCGUCACACCAUGGGAGUGGGUUGCAAAAGAAG
RNAcentral lists this ribosomal RNA (311 nucleotides) under Erwinia sp. Its description in RNAcentral is "bacterial SSU rRNA". It matches the Rfam family "Bacterial small subunit ribosomal RNA", at positions 1116 to 1426 of the family's 1533-position model. Lineage: Bacteria; Pseudomonadati; Pseudomonadota; Gammaproteobacteria; Enterobacterales; Erwiniaceae. The record is from RNAcentral.